ACAGGGAUGCCCUAGUAACGGCGAGUGAAGCGGCAACAGCUCAAAUUUGAAAUCUGGCGUCUUUGGCGUCCGAGUUGUAAUUUGCAGAGGGCGCUUUGGCAUUGGCAGCGGUCCAAGUUCCUUGGAACAGGACGUCACAGAGGGUGAGAAUCCCGUACGUGGUCGCUAGCCUUUACCGUGUAAAGCCCCUUCGACGAGUCGAGUUGUUUGGGAAUGCAGCUCUAAAUGGGAGGUAAAUUUCUUCUAAAGCUAAAUACUGGCCAGAGACCGAUAGCGCACAAGUAGAGUGAUCGAAAGAUGAAAAGCACUUUGGAAAGAGAGUUAAAAAGCACGUGAAAUUGUUGAAAGGGAAGCGCUUGCAGCCAGACUUGCCUGUAGUUGCUCAUCCGGGUUUUUACCCGGUGCACUCUUCUAUAGGCAGGCCAGCAUCAGUUUGGGCGGUUGGAUAAAGGUCUCUGUCAUGUACCUCUCUUCGGGGAGAACUUAUAGGGGAGACGACAUGCAACCAGCCUGGACUGAGGUCCGCGCAUCUGCUAGGAUGCUGGCGUAAUGGCUGUAAGCGGCCCGUCUUGAAACACGGACCAAGGAGUCUAACAUCUAUGCGAGUGUUUGGGUGUCAAGCCCGAGCGCGUAAUGAAAGUGAACGGAGGUGGGAACCCCUCGGGGUGCACCAUCGACCGAUCCUGAUGUCUUCGGAUGGAUUUGAGUAAGAGCAUAGCUGUUGGGACCCGAAAGAUGGUGAACUAUGCUUGAAUAGGGUGAAGCCAGAGGAAACUCUGGUGGAGGCUCGCAGCGGUUCUGACGUGCAAAUCGAUCGUCAAAUUUGGGCAUAGGGGCGAAAGACUAAUCGAA
RNAcentral lists this ribosomal RNA (852 nucleotides) under Juxtiphoma eupyrena. RNAcentral describes it as "partial large subunit ribosomal RNA". It matches the Rfam family "Eukaryotic large subunit ribosomal RNA", at positions 68 to 939 of the family's 3401-position model. The record is from RNAcentral. Lineage: Eukaryota; Fungi; Ascomycota; Dothideomycetes; Pleosporales; Didymellaceae.